RNAcentral lists this ribosomal RNA (892 nucleotides) under uncultured bacterium. RNAcentral's name for it is "bacterial SSU rRNA". It matches the Rfam family "Bacterial small subunit ribosomal RNA", at positions 564 to 1467 of the family's 1533-position model. The record is from RNAcentral.
AGAGUUCGUAGGUGGUUGAAAAAGUUAGUGGUGAAAUCCCAGAGCUUAACUCUGGAACUGCCAUUAAAACUUUUCAGCUAGAGUAUGAUAGAGGAAAGCAGAAUUUCUAGUGUAGAGGUGAAAUUCGUAGAUAUUAGAAAGAAUACCAAUUGCGAAGGCAGCUUUCUGGAUCAUUACUGACACUGAGGAACGAAAGCAUGGGUAGCGAAGAGGAUUAGAUACCCUCGUAGUCCAUGCCGUAAACGAUGUGUGUUAGACGUUGGAAAUUUAUUUUCAGUGUCGCAGCGAAAGCGAUAAACACACCGCCUGGGGAGUACGACCGCAAGGUUAAAACUCAAAUGAAUUGACGGGGACCCGCACAAGUAGUGGAGCAUGUGGUUUAAUUCGAAGAUACGCGCAGAACCUUACCAACACUUGACAUGUUCGUCGCGACUCUAAGAGAUUAGAGUUUUCGGUUCGGCCGGACGAAACACAGGUGCUGCAUGGCUGUCGUCAGCUCGUGUCGUGAGAUGUUGGGUUAAGUCCCGCAACGAGCGCAACCCUCACUUUUAGUUGCCAUCAUUAAGUUGGGCACUCUGAAAGAACUGCCAGUGAUAAGCUGGAGGAAGGUGGGGAUGACGUCAAGUCCUCAUGGCCCUUACGUGUUGGGCUACACACGUGCUACAAUGGUAUCUACAACAGGAAGCAAGACUGCGAGGUCAAGCAAAUCCUUAAAAGAUACCUCAGUUCGGAUUGCACUCUGCAACUCGAGUGCAUGAAGCUGGAAUUACUAGUAAUCGUGGAUCAGCGUGCCACGGUGAAUGCGUUCCCGGGUCUUGUACACACCGCCCGUCACACUAUGGGAGUUGGUUCUACCUUAAGGCAAGGUUUCAAACCCUUGACCACGGUAUAG